Hyalella azteca is the source of this 266-nucleotide long non-coding RNA. RefSeq lists it as uncharacterized. The transcript is spliced from 3 exons. The record is from RefSeq and is a predicted model, not a curated record. NCBI's taxonomy places the organism in Eukaryota, Metazoa, Arthropoda, Malacostraca, Amphipoda, Hyalellidae.
CUGCUUGCCAGUGUGAACCCAAGUUUGGAAGCGUUUCAGGUGAUAAUGUCGGGACCAGGCAUGCUGAAAGCUCCGAGACACAACUUGGCAGCGCAACAAUUUUUGUUCGAAAAAAAGAACGUCGAGAAUGACGCUGCAACAAGAGCAAGUUUCCGUGUGUCACAUCUUUUGGCAAAGCGAGGAAAGCCCUUUGCCGAUGUUGCUGUUUGUUCAUGGGGUCAGCAAAGAUUUUGAAUUGAUUGAAGAGCUGGCCUCUGUGCACGACA